This 491-nucleotide long non-coding RNA is filed under the name Homo sapiens (human). Its description in RNAcentral is "non-protein coding MALINC1:56". Lineage: Eukaryota; Metazoa; Chordata; Mammalia; Primates; Hominidae. The record is from RNAcentral.
AGGGUUGCCGUGCAGGGAGUGUCAGCCACGUCUAGCGCACAGUCCCAGGCCCCAGGGCGAAGGCGGCCAGGGGAAAUGGGGCUCAGGGAUUGCUAAGCAAACGCAUCACUGGUGGUCUCCAGCGCCUGCGGAGUAUCUUUUGCUGCCUCUUACGUAUUGUAGGCAGUGCCUGAUGGCUGAGAAGAAUCGCAGAGGACUAGAAAAGGUUUGAGUCUGAAAUUAUCUGGCACAGAGGAUUAAAGCUCAGAAAUAAGUGAUUGCGAAACAGUUCAACUUCCCUGUUAAUGACAACAACAACAGCAACACGCUUAUUAAUUCCUAGCUGGAGCAUCAAGCUUAUGAAGAUUUCCAAGACUUUAUUGUUGACCCUUGUUGAAGAGAACUCUACUUGGCUUCUUUCCUGGCUUUCCUAAAUUGUUCACAUACAAGAUAAACUACCGUCAUUCAGACUUACAGAAGUGAGAAGACAAGCUGAACCAAAUGUAAAAUGG